GUGGGGAAUCUUGCGCAAUGGGGGCAACCCUGACGCAGCGACGCCGCGUGAGUGAUGAAGGCCUUCGGGUUGUAAAGCUCUGUGGAGGGAGACGAAUAAGCCAUGGCCAAUAUCCAUGGUGAUGACGGUAUCCCUUUAGCAAGCACCGGCUAACUCUGUGCCAGCAGCCGCGGUAAGACAGAGGGUGCAAACGUUGUUCGGAAUUACUGGGCGUAAAGCGCGUGUAGGCUGCUCUGCAAGUCAGGUGUGAAAGCCCUGGGCUCAACCUAGGAAGUGCACUUGAAACUGCGGAGCUUGAAUGUCGGAGAGGGCAGCGGAAUUCUCGGUGUAGAGGUGAAAUUCGUAGAUAUCGAGAGGAACACCGGUGGCGAAGGCGGCUGCCUGGACGACUAUUGACGCUGAGACGCGAAAGCGUGGGGAGCAAACAGGAUUAGAAACCCCGGUAGUCC
Molecule: ribosomal RNA, 449 nt
Filed under: uncultured bacterium
Lineage: Bacteria
Description: bacterial SSU rRNA
Rfam family: Bacterial small subunit ribosomal RNA
Source: RNAcentral